RNAcentral lists this ribosomal RNA (496 nucleotides) under uncultured bacterium. RNAcentral describes it as "partial 16S ribosomal RNA". It matches the Rfam family "Bacterial small subunit ribosomal RNA", at positions 28 to 506 of the family's 1533-position model. The record is from RNAcentral.
GAUGAACGCUGGCGGCGUGCCUAAUACAUGCAAGUCGAGCGAACAGAUGAGGAGCUUGCUCCUCUGACGUUAGCGGCGGACGGGUGAGUAACACGUGGAUAACCUACCUAUAAGACUGGGAUAACUUCGGGAAACCGGAGCUAAUACCGGAUAAUAUAUUGAACCGCAUAGUUCCUUAGUGAAAGACGGUUUUACCGUCACUUUUAGAUGGAUCCGCGCCGCAUUAGAUAGUUGGUAAGGUAACGGCGUACCAAGGCCACGAUUCCUAGCCGACCUGCUGGCGUGAUCCGCAACGCAGGUACUGAGACACGUGCCAGGGGCCUGCGGGAGGCAGCAGCUGGGAACCUCCCGCAUGGGGAGAAACCUUGCCGGAGGCACGCCGCGCGAGUGAUGACGCUCUGCGUAUCGUAAACCUCUGUUAUCAGGGCAGAACAAGUGCGCACGUAACUAUGCCCGUCUUGACGGUACCUAAUCAGAAAGCCACGGCUCACUCCGU